Long non-coding RNA from Prunus persica (peach), 808 nucleotides. RefSeq lists it as uncharacterized. The record is from RefSeq and is a predicted model, not a curated record. The transcript is spliced from 2 exons. NCBI's taxonomy places the organism in Eukaryota, Viridiplantae, Streptophyta, Magnoliopsida, Rosales, Rosaceae.
AAACCACUAAAUUCUCUCUCUUCUGACUCUCUCUGAGCAAUCAGAGGGUGCUUGAGGAGCUUCAAUGCUCUCCUAUUAACACAUGAUAUCCAACAAUCAGAAGUUUGGGUUGAGUAUCCUUUAUUGAGAAACCUUGGCUCAUAAGAAGUUUAAAGCUAAUAUCUGUGCGCAAGAUUGGAAGUCUUUUAAAGAGUUCCAGAGCAGCGGUGAAUUUGACUUGGACUGCAUAUAAUUGCUCAAUUUUAUAUUAGUAUAUAUAAUCAGGGCUGUUCUCUUUGUCGGUGCUAAAUGGGGAUCUUUGAAGAAAUGGGUUUCUGUGGUACUCUUGAUUUCCUUUCGGCUCCUCCUGGGGAAGGAGAGGCAGCUCCAGAGCAUGACCCAGAGGCAACAGUAGAGGAGGAUAAUAGUGAUGAAGAAAUGGAUGUUGAUGAGCUUGAGAGGAGGAUGUGGAGAGAUCGGAUGCUAUUGAAGCGACUUAAAGAACAAAGUAAGGGAAAGGAAGGUGUUGACAAUGCAAGGCAGCGUCAAUCACAGGAACAAGCUCGGAAGAAGAUGUGGCGGGCACAAAAACACUUUCAGAGGAGAAAAUCAUGAACGUGUUCUUCCUCCCAUCGCCGCCACAGCACCUCCUAUUCCGGCGUUGUAGACGACCCUUUGCAGACAUGAUGUUACUCGAGCCACCCAUAAGUCAGUUCAAUGCAAAGGCAUAAUCUGAAUUUUUUUUUUGCAAACCCGAACAGUUUUUCUAAUUUGGCUCUUUCACUUAUUCGGUUUCUACAAUUGGGUUUCCUCCUCUUUUACUGGUUAA